UUUCCGUAGGUGAACCUGCGGAAGGAUCAUUAUUGUAUAAGGGACGUACGAGGGCUGUCGUUUACCCGAAUGUUUAUGCAGGCACGAAUGUCCGCACACCUAUCCAACACGCCCCGACGUGCACCGCUGCGUGCGUCCCCCUUUGGCGUGUGCGGGGGGGGGCUUACGUUUUCACACAAUCUUAGGAUGCUGUGGAGUGUGUAUUUAUUUUUUUUGCAAUAACCCCAUCAAAACACCUUUCAACAACGGCUCCCUUGGUUGUCGCACCGAUGAAGAAGG
RNAcentral lists this unclassified non-coding RNA (279 nucleotides) under plant metagenome. RNAcentral's name for it is "partial contains small subunit ribosomal RNA, internal transcribed spacer 1, and 5.8S ribosomal RNA". The record is from RNAcentral.